RNAcentral lists this RNase P RNA (371 nucleotides) under Planctomycetota bacterium. RNAcentral's name for it is "RNase P RNA component class A". It matches the Rfam family "Bacterial RNase P class A". Rfam says of the family: Ribonuclease P (RNase P) is a ubiquitous endoribonuclease, found in archaea, bacteria and eukarya as well as chloroplasts and mitochondria. Its best characterised activity is the generation of mature 5'-ends of tRNAs by cleaving the 5'-leader elements of precursor-tRNAs. Cellular RNase Ps are ribonucleoproteins. The record is from RNAcentral. Lineage: Bacteria; Pseudomonadati; Planctomycetota.
AGAGGGCAGUGCGCAAUCGCGUUCAGCUUCGGCUGAUCGAGGAAAGUCCGGACACUGUAGGGCAGGGUGGUGGGUAACGCCCACCGGGAGGAAUCCCAGGGAAAGUGCAACAGAAAACAUACCGCCAACGUCGGGCAUGCUCGACACGGUUAGGGUGAAAUGGUGAGGUAAGAGCUCACCGCGGAAACGGUGACGUUUCUGGCAUGGCAAACCCCACCCGGUGAAAGAUCAAAUAGGAAAGUACGGAGCGGCCCGCUCCACAUUACUUUCGGGUAGAUCGUUUGAGACCGUUGGCAACAUCGGUCCUAGAGAAAUGAUUGCGAGCGGCUUUCGGGCCGCCACAGAAUCCGGCUUAUAGCUGCCCUCUCAUC